CAGGUUUACCUGUGUGACUGCGUACCUUUUGUAUAAUGGGUCAGCGACUUAUAUUCUGUAGCAAGGUUAACCGAAUAGGGGAGCCGGAGGGAAACCGAGUCUUAAUUGGGCGUUAAGUUGCAGGGUAUAGACCCGAAACCCGGUGAUCUAGCCAUGGGCAGGUUGAAGGUUGGGUAACACUAACUGGAGGACCGAACCGACUAAUGUUGAAAAAUUAGCGGAUGACCUGUGGCUGGGGGUGAAAGGCCAAUCAAACCGGGAGAUAGCUGGUUCUCCCCGAAAGCUAUUUAGGUAGCGCCUCGUGAAUUCAUCUCCGGGGGUAGAGCACUGUUUCGGCUAGGGGGCCAUCCCGGCUUACCAACCCGAUGCAAACUGCGAAUACCGGAGAAUGUUAUCACGGGAGACACACGGCGGGUGCUAACGUCCGUCGUGAAGAGGGAAACAACCCAGACCGCCAGCUAAGGUCCCAAAGUCAUGGUUAAGUGGGAAACGAUGUGGGAAGGCCCAGACAGCCAGGAUGUUGGCUUAGAAGCAGCCAUCAUUUAAAGAAAGCGUAAUAGCUCACUGGUCGAGUCGGCCUGCGCGGAAGAUGUAACGGGGCUAAACCAUGCACCGAAGCUG
This 621-nucleotide ribosomal RNA is filed under the name Salmonella enterica subsp. enterica serovar Enteritidis. RNAcentral describes it as "partial 23S ribosomal RNA". It matches the Rfam family "Bacterial large subunit ribosomal RNA", at positions 580 to 1202 of the family's 2925-position model. The record is from RNAcentral. Lineage: Bacteria; Pseudomonadati; Pseudomonadota; Gammaproteobacteria; Enterobacterales; Enterobacteriaceae.